GACGAACGCUGGCGGCGUGCUUAACACAUGCAAGUCGAACGGAAAGGCCCUGCUUUUGUGGGGUGCUCGAGUGGCGAACGGGUGAGUAACACGUGAGUAACCUGCCCUUGACUUUGGGAUAACUUCAGGAAACUGGGGCUAAUACCGGAUAGGAGCUCCUGCUGCAUGGGGGGGGUUGGAAAGUUUCGGCGGUUGGGGAUGGACUCGCGGCUUAUCAGCUUGUUGGUGGGGUAGUGGCUUACCAAGGCUUUGACGGGUAGCCGGCCUGAGAGGGUGACCGGCCACAUUGGGACUGAGAUACGGCCCAGACUCCUGCGGGAGGCAGCAGUGGGGAAUAUUGCACAAUGGGCGGAAGCCUGAUGCAGCAACGCCGCGUGCGGGAUGACGGCCUUCGGGUUGUAAACCGCUUUCGCCUGUGACGAAGCGUGAGUGACGGUAAUGGGUAAAGAAGCACCGGCUAACUACGUG
This 468-nucleotide ribosomal RNA is filed under the name uncultured bacterium. RNAcentral's name for it is "partial 16S ribosomal RNA". It matches the Rfam family "Bacterial small subunit ribosomal RNA", at positions 28 to 507 of the family's 1533-position model. The record is from RNAcentral.